GACGAACGCUGGCGGCGUGCUUAACACAUGCAAGUCGAACGGAAAGGCCCUGCUUUUGUGGGGUGCUCGAGUGGCGAACGGGUGAGUAACACGUGAGUAACCUGCCCUUGACUUUGGGAUAACUUCAGGUAACUGGGGCUAAUACCGGAUAGGAGCUCCUGCUGCAUGGUGGGGGUUGGAAAGUUUCGGCGGUUGGGGAUGGACUCGCGGCUUAUCAGCUUGUUGGUGGGGUAGUGGCUUACCAAGGCUUUGACGGGUAGCCGGCCUGAGAGGGUGACCGGCCACAAUGGGACUGAGAGAGGGCCCAGACUCCUACGGGAGGCAGCAGUGGGGAAUAUUGCACAAUGGGCGGAAGCCUGAUGCAGCAACGCCGCGUGCGGGAUGACGGCCUUCGGGUUGUAAACCGCUUUCGCCUGUGACGAAGCGUGAGUGACGGUAAUGGGUAAAGAAGCACCGGCUAACUACGUG
This 468-nucleotide ribosomal RNA is filed under the name uncultured bacterium. RNAcentral describes it as "partial 16S ribosomal RNA". It matches the Rfam family "Bacterial small subunit ribosomal RNA", at positions 28 to 507 of the family's 1533-position model. The record is from RNAcentral.